GAGAUUUAGGCGUCCCUCUGUAUUCAUUUAGAUGAUGGAUAGUAAUGGCUCAAUAGUUCCUCUGGAACCAUUACGGUCAAUCAGGUCAAAAUCCAGCUUGGGGGUGGGAAGGAUUUUUAAGCACGGGAGGUAGGUAACAGGACUCCUGCGCACAUUUGUUCAGAUAACACCUCUGAUAACGUAAUGCAAUCCAGGGUCCUUAAGAGAACAGAUGCCAGGUGAACGCAAGAGCGGGUGUUUUUUGUUGUGACAGCGACAGACAAGUUACAGUAUCAAAACUGAAAGGGAAAGUGAACUGUUUUUCCAGGCAGUUCCCGUUUGGUAAGUUCUUUACGGGCACACAAAUGUAACUCUUUCACCUUAAUAAAUGUAACAAUACAUACACACACACACACACACACACAUAUACCUUUGGUUUGUAAAAAUAUGUGUGACAUGAAGCAUAAAUACUAGCAUGGAAUUGCAUGGGCAUACGAUCAUCGGGAAAAUGGAAUGAUGAUGUCUUCUGUUGUGAAGAUCAAAUGUAAAAUGUAUGUAAAAGACGGCAUGGGUUUUUACUUUUUACACAAAUUUGAGUUGUCAGACUAUUUUAGACACAUCCAGAUCUAUGUACUAAGGUUAAUGAACUUUUCCUUUUUCCAAGGUGUAAAUAAGUGCAUUAGAAACAAGGCAAUGUCUAAUCAGCCGGGGAUGUUGGAGAACAGUAGUUUGAACGGAAUUGUGAAUAGUUAGGGUGGAAUCCUGCAGAUAGAGCCACCUACUGCACCCGCGGCGCUGGGUCCUUCCGGGCUGCACCGGCGGCGGGUGGCGCUGGAGGAAGGAGAGUUCGCGGUAAUUAAACAUUUCCAGACACCGGAGGGUUAUUAUCUGCAGAGCGAUUUCCGGCGAUGGGACUCGGAGAGAGUCCGGCUGCGAGGUUUCGAGAUUCUGGGACGCAAUCCUAAAGAAAACGUGCCCCCUGCUGGCGAGCAAGCCACAUCUCGGGACCCCUUCUUGGAAAACUCGCAAACCCACAGUAUCCUUAUUUCACUUUGCCCAAGAGUAUUUUAGUCCUUCAGUUUUUCUUUUCUCAGUUAGAAGUUUGCUGCUACUCAUUUAAAAGUACGCACACGCUUACCCUUCCAAAGAGCAAACGGAGGAGGAAUUUCUUCUCGCCACGGGGUUUCUGUUUCCCUGCCCCAAACCAGACGUCCUUGCUCUCAGAUGGAUGAGGGCUUUUGUUUGUUUGUUUGUUUGUUUUUAAAUAAUCCGAAAUUCCUAGCAACUAUCUGCCGCCGUUCGCUUCUGGUCCUGGGAAGACGAUGAGCAAAGAUCUACUGGGACCCCAUCCUGCAUUUGCAAGCUCGGUCCGCGUGCCCCUCCCGGCACACCCGGAGGUGAGAAGUGCCCUCCGGUGCCUCCGUCCGCAGCCCCUCGUAGGUCUGCACGUCCUGCUUCGGAUCCCAAAUCCUGGCUUUCUGAAGAAGCGCGGGAAGAAGAGAGAGAGUCUGUUUCCGUGAAUCGAUUUCCCUGAAACACACUAGACUGUGAUUUUUAUCACUUAUUGAGCUGAAGGAUCUUUUAGGAGAAUUUCCUCCUCAAAAUCAGAACCGUUCUCAAGCCUGGUGCUGCAAGUACAAU
RNAcentral lists this long non-coding RNA (1620 nucleotides) under Homo sapiens (human). RNAcentral describes it as "HSALNT0028261". Lineage: Eukaryota; Metazoa; Chordata; Mammalia; Primates; Hominidae. The record is from RNAcentral.